RNAcentral lists this ribosomal RNA (407 nucleotides) under uncultured bacterium. RNAcentral describes it as "bacterial SSU rRNA". It matches the Rfam family "Bacterial small subunit ribosomal RNA", at positions 355 to 776 of the family's 1533-position model. The record is from RNAcentral.
UGGGGAAUAUUGGGCAAUGGGCGCAAGCCUGACCCAGCAACGCCGCGUGAAGGAAGAAGGCUUUCGGGUUGUAAACUUCUUUUGUCAGGGACGAAGCAAGUGACGGUACCUGACGAAUAAGCCACGGCUAACUACGUGCCAGCAGCCGCGGUAAUACGUAGGUGGCAAGCGUUAUCCGGAUUUACUGGGUGUAAAGGGCGUGUAGGCGGGACUGCAAGUCAGAUGUGAAAACCACGGGCUCAACCUGUGGCCUGCAUUUGAAACUGUAGUUCUUGAGUACUGGAGAGGCAGACGGAAUUCCUAGUGUAGCGGUGAAAUGCGUAGAUAUUAGGAGGAACACCAGUGGCGAAGGCGGUCUGCUGGACAGCAACUGACGCUGAGGCGCGAAAGCGUGGGGAGCAAACAGG